UUUAGAAGCUUAUCAGCUCACUGAUUUCCUUCUAUCAUUUAUUCGGUUUUUCCCUACUCAGGAAAGUUAAAGCAAAGCAUUGGUGCGGAAAAGUUAGAGUGUGACCUUAAAAUACCUGUGCUCAACCAGCAUUUCUGCUUGGAGCUCUGCUUUGAUCAGUGAAUGAGUCUUCUAGGGAGCACGUUAGACCCUGCUCAGCCCCAGGAAAACUGCAUGUGCAAAUCCUCAGGGAGCAUCAUGAUGGCAGAACAUGCUUCCAGACUGAAAGGACUGAAAAGGGCAGUACUGUGGGCAGUAGCUGAGGCUGGAAUUUCCAAGUUAGGGAUCAUGACCUUUGGGACUAGAGUCA
This 349-nucleotide long non-coding RNA is filed under the name Manacus vitellinus (golden-collared manakin). Its description in RNAcentral is "lncRNA (ENSMVIG00005003531.1)". The record is from RNAcentral. Lineage: Eukaryota; Metazoa; Chordata; Aves; Passeriformes; Pipridae.